GCAGCUUGCUGUUUUGCUGACGAGUGGCGGACGGGUGAGUAAUGUCUGGGAAACUGCCUGAUGGAGGGGGAUAACUACUGGAAACGGUAGCUAAUACCGCAUAACGUCGCAAGACCAAAGAGGGGGACCUUAGGGCCUCUUGCCAUCGGAUGUGCCCAGAUGGGAUUAGCUAGUAGGUGGGGUAACGGCUCACCUAGGCGACGAUCCCUAGCUGGUCUGAGAGGAUGACCAGCCACACUGGAACUGAGACACGGUCCAGACUCCUACGGGAGGCAGCAGUGGGGAAUAUUGCACAAUGGGCGCAAGCCUGAUGCAGCCAUGCCGCGUGUAUGAAGAAGGCCUUCGGGUUGUAAAGUACUUUCAGCGGGGAGGAAGGGAGUAAAGUUAAUACCUUUGCUCAUUGACGUUACCCGCAGAAGAAGCACCGGCUAACUCCGUGCCAGCAGCCGCGGUAAUACGGA
Molecule: ribosomal RNA, 461 nt
Filed under: uncultured bacterium
Lineage: Bacteria
Description: bacterial SSU rRNA
Rfam family: Bacterial small subunit ribosomal RNA
Source: RNAcentral